This is a long non-coding RNA of Teleopsis dalmanni, 301 nucleotides long. RefSeq lists it as uncharacterized. The transcript is spliced from 3 exons. The record is from RefSeq and is a predicted model, not a curated record. Lineage: Eukaryota; Metazoa; Arthropoda; Insecta; Diptera; Diopsidae.
UAAUAUAAAAGCGGCAAUUGCUGCAUAUACAAGAAAUUACAAAUUUUUCAAAAUCAAAACAUCUUCAAUGAUAACUAGAAACCAAAGAAAGUGCUGGACUUCUGAUAAAAAUGAAAUCCGUAUGUUGGUUCUGAGAAGACAACAGAGGGCUUCAAAAUAAGUUUGAACACUAAAUAACCACAAAUCAAAUAGAAAACAAAUAAGGCGAUGUUUGAAACAAAUCUUCAGUGUGUUCUUUUUUGACUUCAAAGAUGUUGACGAUAUGUUGACGACGCUGACAGUCACGGUGAGGAUGACUAUC